CGUCAAACGUGAAUUAUGUAUAGGUAAUGUCUUAUGUCAUUAGAAUUUAGAAAGUUUUCACAUUUGGCAGAAAAAUAAAAAUAAAUAAAUUAUAAAAUACUUGAAAAUUUAAGAUUGAGAAUUACUAUAUGCACACUGUGCGGGCUCUUGAAUUUUAUUUUAUGGUGAUGUAAUUAUGUUGCGACUGUUUCGACAAGUAUUACGUGUUGACCGAAGAACAUAUAAAAACUUUGGUCAUAAAAGGGAGCCUGAACCACGAUUUACAGUAAUUUGGCAUGGAUUUCUAACAUUUAGUUUCAUUGGAUUGGGAGUGGAAUGGAAAAGAGUUUUAAAAUUCUUUUUUGGAGACGAUGAUCUACCACAUCCUCUUAACUUAGAAGCACAAUAUGAAAAUCCAUCAGAAGAAAAAAAUAUAUGUAAAUAAUUAUUAUGUAAUUAUAUGUUGAGUAGAUAUGUAAAUAUUUAAGAAAUAUACCUAUUAAUUUAAAUUAAAA
Long non-coding RNA from Colias croceus (clouded yellow), 494 nucleotides. RefSeq lists it as uncharacterized. The transcript is spliced from 2 exons. The record is from RefSeq and is a predicted model, not a curated record. NCBI's taxonomy places the organism in Eukaryota, Metazoa, Arthropoda, Insecta, Lepidoptera, Pieridae.